This 624-nucleotide ribosomal RNA is filed under the name uncultured Peziza. RNAcentral describes it as "eukaryotic LSU rRNA". The stretch from base 224 to 377 matches the Rfam family "5.8S ribosomal RNA". Lineage: Eukaryota; Fungi; Ascomycota; Pezizomycetes; Pezizales; Pezizaceae. The record is from RNAcentral.
UCCGUAANGGGGUACCUGCGGAAGGAUCAUUACUGAAAAACUUUUCAAAGUUUUUUUAUAUCCCAUUGUCUAUCUACCAUGUUGCUUCCACUGGACAUGUUUUACCUUGUGUAAGACCUUUGGCUUGUGUGAAUAACCCAAGUCAGGGAGUUGCCGGUGGUAAGACCAUCUACCAAAACUUGAUUAAAAUACUUUGUCUGAAUCUUUUGCUUCNAUGAAAUAAAACUUUCAACAACGGAUCUCUAGGCUCUUGCAUCGAUGAAGAACGCAGUGAAAUGCGAUAAGUAAUGUGAAUUGCAGAAUCUCGUGAAUCAUCGAAUCUUUGAACGCACAUUGCGCCCUAUGGUAUUCCGUAGGGCAUGCCUGUCUGAGCGUCAGCUCCCACCCACUCAAGUAUCUUUUUUGGGGGAUUCUUGGAAUGAUUUGGANAGGUGUCUUGUCAUANAGACGUCCUUCAGAAAUUCAUAGGCAGUAUGGUUUGCACCUGAACCAGACGUAAUAAUAAUAAAAUCGUUUCUUUGGGAAUAAUUGUGCUUGCCUUAACCCACCCAUUUCUCUCAUUUGGGUGACCUCANAUCAGGNANGGAUACCCGCUGAACUUAANCAUAUCAAUAANCGGAGGAA